Non-coding RNA from Polyrhizophydium stewartii, 74 nucleotides. The record is from the annotation of a GenBank genome assembly. NCBI's taxonomy places the organism in Eukaryota, Fungi, Chytridiomycota, Chytridiomycetes, Rhizophydiales.
GGUUUCAUAGUGUAGUCGGUUAUCACAUCUGUCUAACACACAGAAGGUCUCCGGUUCGAGCCCGGAUGAAACCA